This 299-nucleotide ribosomal RNA is filed under the name Streptomyces sp. A01. Its description in RNAcentral is "partial 16S rRNA". It matches the Rfam family "Bacterial small subunit ribosomal RNA", at positions 91 to 391 of the family's 1533-position model. Lineage: Bacteria; Bacillati; Actinomycetota; Actinomycetes; Kitasatosporales; Streptomycetaceae. The record is from RNAcentral.
AUUAGUGGCGAACGGGUGAGUAACACGUGGGCAAUCUGCCCUUCACUCUGGGACAAGCCCUGGAAACGGGGUCUAAUACCGGAUAACACUCUGUCCUGCAUGGGACGGGGUUAAAAGCUCCGGCGGUGAAGGAUGAGCCCGCGGCCUAUCAGCUUGUUGGUGGGGUAAUGGCCUACCAAGGCGACGACGGGUAGCCGGCCUGAGAGGGCGACCGGCCACACUGGGACUGAGACACGGCCCAGACUCCUACGGGAGGCAGCAGUGGGGAAUAUUGCACAAUGGGCGAAAGCCUGAUGCAG